This 593-nucleotide ribosomal RNA is filed under the name Colletotrichum boninense. RNAcentral's name for it is "eukaryotic LSU rRNA". The stretch from base 225 to 378 matches the Rfam family "5.8S ribosomal RNA". Lineage: Eukaryota; Fungi; Ascomycota; Sordariomycetes; Glomerellales; Glomerellaceae. The record is from RNAcentral.
CUUCCGUAGGGUGAACCUGCGGAGGGAUCAUUACUGAGUUACCGCUCUAUAACCCUUUGUGAACAUACCUACAACUGUUGCUUCGGCGGGUAGGCCGUCCCCUGAAAAGGACGCCUCCCGGCCCGGACCGGUCUCCCUGCGGGGCCGGGCUUGGCGCCCGCCGGAGGAUAACCAAACUCUAUUUUAACGACGUUUCUUCUGAGUGGCAUAAGCAAAAUAAUCAAAACUUUUAACAACGGAUCUCUUGGUUCUGGCAUCGAUGAAGAACGCAGCGAAAUGCGAUAAGUAAUGUGAAUUGCAGAAUUCAGUGAAUCAUCGAAUCUUUGAACGCACAUUGCGCCCGCCAGCAUUCUGGCGGGCAUGCCUGUUCGAGCGUCAUUUCAACCCUCAAGCUCUGCUUGGUGUUGGGGCUCUACGGUUGACGUAGGCCCUCAAAGGUAGUGGCGGACCCUCCCGGAGCCUCCUUUGCGUAGUAACAUUUCGUCUCGCACUGGGAUCCGGAGGGACUCUUGCCGUAAAACCCCCCAAUUUUUCAAGGUUGACCUCGGAUCAGGUAGGAAUACCCGCUGAACUUAAGCAUAUCAAUAAGCGGA